CCUACGGGAGGCAGCAGUAGGGAAUAUUGCUCAAUGGGGGAAACCCUGACGCAGCAACGCCGCGUGGAGGAUGAAGGUUUUCGGAUUGUAAACUUCUUUUGUUAGAGAAGAUAAUGAAGUUUUCUAAUGAAUAAGCAACGGCUAACUCCGUGCCAGCAGCCGCGGUAAUACGGAGGGCGCAAGCGUUCCGCGGUAUCACUGGGCGUAAAGAGCGCGUAGGGGGGAUAGCAAGUCAGAGGUGAAAUCCACUGGCUUAACCAUAGAACUGCAUUUGAAACUGUUAUUCUAGAGUUUGGGAGAGGUAGGUGGAAUUCUAGGUGUAGGGGUAAAAUCCGUAGAGAUCAGGAGGAAUACUAGUUGCGAAGGCGACCUGCUAGGACAUAACUGACGCUGAGGCGCGAAAGCGUGGGGAGCAAACAGGAUUAGAUACCCCUGUAGUC
RNAcentral lists this ribosomal RNA (440 nucleotides) under uncultured bacterium. RNAcentral's name for it is "partial 16S ribosomal RNA". It matches the Rfam family "Bacterial small subunit ribosomal RNA", at positions 338 to 795 of the family's 1533-position model. The record is from RNAcentral.